UUAGGCAGCAGUCGAGAAUAAUUCACAAUGGGGGAAACCCUGAUGGUGCAACGCCGCGUGGAGGAUGAAGGUCUUCGGAUUGUAAACUCCUGUCAUCUGGGAGUGAGACCUGGGCGUGAAUAGCGCACAGGGUUGAUAGUACCAGAAGAGGAAGGGACGGCUAACUUCGUGCCAGCAGCCGCGGUAAUACGAAGGUCCCAAGCGUUGUUCGGAAUCACUGGGCGUAAAGGGUGCGUAGGCGGUUUGGUAAGUCAGAUGUGAAAUCCCGGGGCUCAACCCCGGAACUGCAUCCGAUACUGCCGGACUAGAGGACUGGAGAGGUGACUGGAAUUCUCGGUGUAGCAGUGAAAUGCGUGGAUAUCGAGAGGAACACUCGUGGCGUAAGCGAGUCACUGGACAGUAUCUGACGCUGAGGCACGAAGGCCAGGGGAGCGAAAGGGAUUAGAUACCCCUGUAGUCCUGGCAGUAAACGGUGUGCGCUUGGUGUGAGGGGAAUCGACCCCCCUUGUGCCGGAGCUAACGCGUUAAGCGCACCGCCUGGGAAGUACGGCCGCAAGGCUAAAACUCAAAGAAAUUGACGGGGACCCGCACAAGCGGUGGAGUAUGUGGCUUAAUUCGAUGCAACGCGAAGAACCUUACCUAGGCUUGACAUGCAUCUCUAAGCGCGUGAAAGCGCGUGACCCUUCGGGGGAUUUGCACAGGUGCUGCAUGGCCGUCGUCAACUCGUGUCGUGAGAUGUUGGGUUAAGUCCCGCAACGAGCGCAACCCCUAUUGACAGUUGCUAACAUUAAGUUGAGAACUCUGUCAAGACUGCUGUUGAUAAAACGGAGGAAGGUGGGGAUGAUGUCAAGUCAUCAUGGCCUUUAUGUUCAGGGCUACACACGUGCUACAAUGGUAGGUACAAAACGUCGCAAACUCGUAAGAGGGAGCUAAUCGCUUAAAGCCUAUCUCAGCUCGGAUUGAAGUCUGCAACUCGACUUCAUGAAGUUGGAAUCGCUAGUAAUCGCAGAUCAGAAUGCUGCGGUGAAUACGUUCCCGGGCCUUGUACACACCGCCA
This 1057-nucleotide ribosomal RNA is filed under the name uncultured soil bacterium. RNAcentral's name for it is "bacterial SSU rRNA". It matches the Rfam family "Bacterial small subunit ribosomal RNA", at positions 344 to 1395 of the family's 1533-position model. The record is from RNAcentral.